This 443-nucleotide ribosomal RNA is filed under the name uncultured bacterium. RNAcentral's name for it is "partial 16S ribosomal RNA". It matches the Rfam family "Bacterial small subunit ribosomal RNA", at positions 338 to 795 of the family's 1533-position model. The record is from RNAcentral.
CCUACGGGAGGCAGCAGUGGGGAAUAUUGGGCAAUGGGCGCAAGCCUGACCCAGCAACGCCGCGUGCAUGAAGAAGGCUUUCGGGUUGUAAACUUCUUUUGUCAGGGACGAAGCAAGUGACGGUACCUGACGAAUAAGCCACGGCUAACUACGUGCCAUCAGCCGCAGUAAUACGUCGGUGGCAAGCUAUAUCCGCAUUGACUGGGUGUAAAGGGCGUGUAGGCGGGGAGGCAAGUCAGAUGUGAAACCCACGGGCUCAACCUGUGGCCUGAAUUUGAAACUGUUUUUCUUGAGUGCUGGAGAGGCGAUCGGAAUUCCGUGUGUAGCGGUUAAAGGCGUAGAUAUACGGCGGAACACCAGUGGCGAAGGCGGAUUGCUGGACAGUAACUGACGCUGAGGCGCGAAAGCGUGGGGAGCAAACAGGAUUAGAUACCCCAGUAGUC